UAACACAUGCAAGUCGAACGGUAACAGGAGAGAGCUUGCUCUCUUGCUGACGAGUCGCGGACGGGUGAGUAACGCGUAAGAAUCUGCCUAGUAGUGGGGGACAACUACCGGAAACGGUAGCUAAUACCGCAUACGCCCUACGGGGGAAAGUGGGGGACCUUCGGGCCUCACGCUAUUAGAUGAGCUUGCGUUAGAUUAGCUAGUUGGUGAGGUAAUGGCUCACCAAGGCCACGAUCUAUAGCUGGUUUGAGAGAACGAUCAGCCACACUGGGACUGAGAUAUGGCCCAGACUCCUAUGGGAGGCAGCAGUGGGGAAUAUUGGACAAUGGGGGCAACCCUGAUCCAGCAAUACCGCGUGUGUGAAGAAGGCCUGAGGGUUGUAAAAGCACUUUCAAUUGGGAGGAAAAGCUGAGCGUUAAUAGCGUUUAGUCUUGACGUUACCAUUAGAAGAAGCACCGGCUAACUCCGUGCCAGCAGCCGCGGUAAUACGGGGGGUGCAAGCGUUAAUCGGAAUUACUGGGCGUAAAGCGCGCGUAGGGGGUUUGUUAAGUCGGAUGUGAAAGCCCUGGGCUCAACCUGGGAAUGGCAUUCGAAACUGGCUGACUAGAGUAUGGUAGAGGGAAGUGGAAUUCCGGGUGUAGCGGUGAAAUGCGUAGAUAUCCGGAGGAACAUCAGUGGCGAAGGCGACUUCCUGGACCAAUACUGACACUGAGGUGCGAAAGCGUGGGUAGCAAACAGGAUUAGAUACCCUGGUAGUCCACGCCGUAAACGAUGUCAACUAGAUGUUGGGAAGGUUAAACUUAAUAGGUGUCGUAGCAAACGUGAUAAGUUCUCCGCCUGGGGAGUACGGCCGCAAGGCUAAAACUCAAAUGAAUUGACGGGGGCCCGCACAAGCGGUGGAGCAUGUGGUUUAAUUCGAUGCAACGCGAAGAACCUUACCAGCCCUUGACAUCCUGGAAACUUACUAGAGAUAGUUUGGUGCCUGCGGGAAUCCAGUGACAGGUGCUGCAUAGCUGUCGGCAGCUCGUGUCGUGAGAUGUUGGGUUAAGUCCCGUAACGAGCGCAACCCUUGCCCUUAGUUGCCGCACGUAAUGGUGGGAACUCUAGGGGGACUGCCGGUGAUAAACCGGAGGAAGGUGAGGAUGACGUCAAGUCAUCAUGGCCCUUAUGGGCUGGGCUACACACGUGCUACAAUGGCCGGUACAGAGGGCCGCAAACCCGCGAGGGGGAGCAAAUCUCACAAAACCGGUCGUAGUCCGGAUCGGAGUCUGCAACUCGACUCCGUGAAGUUGGAAUCGCUAGUAAUCGCGAAUCAGAAUGUCGCGGUGAAUACGUUCCCG
RNAcentral lists this ribosomal RNA (1340 nucleotides) under uncultured prokaryote. RNAcentral describes it as "partial 16S ribosomal RNA". It matches the Rfam family "Bacterial small subunit ribosomal RNA", at positions 49 to 1376 of the family's 1533-position model. The record is from RNAcentral.